GUAGGGGGCGAGCGUUGUCCGGAUUUAUUGGGCGUAAAGAGCUCGUAGGCGGCUUGGGCAAGUCGGCCGUGAAAGUCCGAGGGCUCAACCUCGGAACGCCGGUCGAAACUGCCAUGGCUAGGGUCCCGGUAGAGGAGAGUGGAAUUCCCAGUGUAGCGGUGAAAUGCGCAGAUAUCGGGAGGAGCACCAGUAGCGAAGGCGGCUCUCUGGGCCGGUACCGACGCUGAGGAGCGAAAGCGUGGGGAGCAAACAGGAUUAGAUACCCUGGUAGUCCACGCCGUAAACGUUGGGCACUAGGUGUGGCGAGUUAUACCAACGCUUGCUGUGCCGUAGCUAACGCAUUAAGUGCCCCGCCUGGGGAGUACGGUCGCAAGGCUA
Molecule: ribosomal RNA, 378 nt
Filed under: uncultured organism
Description: partial 16S ribosomal RNA
Rfam family: Bacterial small subunit ribosomal RNA
Source: RNAcentral